UUCGUGAUAGCUCAGUUGGUAGAGCAGCCUCCUUUUAAGAGGCAGGUCACUGGUUCAAGUCCAGUUCACGGCA
This 73-nucleotide transfer RNA is filed under the name Erwinia phage phiEa2809. It matches the Rfam family "tRNA". From Rfam's summary of the family: Transfer RNA (tRNA) molecules are approximately 80 nucleotides in length. Their secondary structure includes four short double-helical elements and three loops (D, anti-codon, and T loops). Further hydrogen bonds mediate the characteristic L-shaped molecular structure. tRNAs have two regions of fundamental functional importance: the anti-codon, which is responsible for specific mRNA codon recognition, and the 3' end, to which the tRNAs corresponding amino acid is attached (by aminoacyl-tRNA synthetases). tRNAs cope with the degeneracy of the genetic code in two manners: having more than one tRNA (with a specific anti-codon) for a particular amino acid; and 'wobble' base-pairing, i.e. permitting non-standard base-pairing at the 3rd anti-codon position. The record is from Rfam by way of RNAcentral. Lineage: Duplodnaviria; Heunggongvirae; Uroviricota; Caudoviricetes; Pantevenvirales; Ackermannviridae.